GUGAAUCGUGAAGGGUUUGAACCUGCAGCAGGUUCGAGUUGAGCGAAAGCGAAACAACGUUGCUUUAGCAACGGCCCGAAGGGUGAAAUCAUCCUGCACGACCCACCA
RNAcentral lists this small RNA (108 nucleotides) under Cedecea davisae. RNAcentral describes it as "RtT RNA". It matches the Rfam family "RtT RNA". Rfam says of the family: This family represents a bacterial cis-regulatory element known as RtT RNA. The exact function of RtT is unknown although it is thought that it may be involved in changing the cellular response in relation to amino acid starvation. Lineage: Bacteria; Pseudomonadati; Pseudomonadota; Gammaproteobacteria; Enterobacterales; Enterobacteriaceae. The record is from RNAcentral.